Camelus ferus (Wild Bactrian camel) is the source of this 72-nucleotide transfer RNA. It matches the Rfam family "tRNA". Rfam says of the family: Transfer RNA (tRNA) molecules are approximately 80 nucleotides in length. Their secondary structure includes four short double-helical elements and three loops (D, anti-codon, and T loops). Further hydrogen bonds mediate the characteristic L-shaped molecular structure. tRNAs have two regions of fundamental functional importance: the anti-codon, which is responsible for specific mRNA codon recognition, and the 3' end, to which the tRNAs corresponding amino acid is attached (by aminoacyl-tRNA synthetases). tRNAs cope with the degeneracy of the genetic code in two manners: having more than one tRNA (with a specific anti-codon) for a particular amino acid; and 'wobble' base-pairing, i.e. permitting non-standard base-pairing at the 3rd anti-codon position. Lineage: Eukaryota; Metazoa; Chordata; Mammalia; Artiodactyla; Camelidae. The record is from Rfam.
GAAGGUAUAGCUCAGUGGUAGAGUGCAUGUCUAGCAUGCAUGAGGUCCUGGGUUCAAUCCCCAGGACCUCCA